Peromyscus maniculatus bairdii (prairie deer mouse) is the source of this 2834-nucleotide non-coding RNA. NCBI's taxonomy places the organism in Eukaryota, Metazoa, Chordata, Mammalia, Rodentia, Cricetidae. The record is from RefSeq and is a predicted model, not a curated record.
GGUACUGAUACUGGUACUGGGAAAGAGGGCGCAGGCCCUCUUCCACCUCCUUUACCUCCCGCCGCCUCGUGUUCUUCUUUAAAAAGCCAGAUGGCGCCAACUCUCAAGUCGUUGGAGAGCGCAGGGCUCCAGGGCUAGCUCAGAGAGAGCGAGGGGGCGGGUGGACCCUCGUGUCUGGGGCUGGAGCUUUCUCUCCGCCUCUGCAGACACCGGUCGGUUUGCUUUUCUCUUUUUUCUUCUCCCACACCCCUCGCAAGAUGCCGACAAGCCCAAAGGAGAGCGGAGUGUCCUGUGUGCCACAUGGAGCUCGGGGGAAAGGAAAUGAUUAAAGCCGUGAGGUUUCCUGGCUCUUCGUGGUGUUUACGCUGACCUUCCGGACCUGACCUUGAGGAUUCCAGCCAUCCCCCUGUUCAUUCCAGCCUAGAUGCUAAGGUUGCCUGACUGGGCUACGAGUCAACUUGGGUGUGGCUGGUCAACUCACCUCCGGGCUGGGCUCUCUCUUACCCUUAGGUCUGAGGCAGAGCUUAAGAACCUGCAUUUCUUAGAACUUCUCAAGCAAUGCUAAAACUAGUCCAAGGAACAGACCUUGAGAGCCACUGUUAUUUAUCCUGUUGAGAAAGUCUGACAGAGAAGGUUAAAAGUGUCCCUGAAUCCUUCAAUAGUCACCUCAUGCUGAGGCUCACAGCAAGUCCUGUCCACUGAGUUUCAGUGGAGGAGAAUGGGGGCUUCCAGAAGGAUUUAGCCUUGCAUGUUUUAAAGCCUAAGGGGAGAAUGAAGUCAAGAUAUUGAAAGGGAAGCUGAAGCAAAGGUGUUUCUACUGUUAUAGAAGGUGAUGUUGACCACCAUACUGCAGUGGACAGCCGUUCUGUAUUGAACGGGAACUGUGGACUGCGCAUGGAUGUCACAGACUCUCUGCCCAGACAUCCCUGGCUCCUGUGGCUUCCCAGUGUUGGGCUCUGCUCUGGCUGCUGAGCCUCGGAGGCAAAUGGGGUGGUUGUGAAAUUGGUGCUCUUAAUGAAGCGAUUCUUGAACCUGAAGUGUGUGAGGAAAUUACCUCAAAGUGAGAGGAGAAAUUGGCCCGUUGGAAAGUUGUUGACCUUUCCAGGAUGGCUUUUAAGAGAAUAGAUUUGUUUUAUUUGACACUCUGGGAAUUAUUUAAUAAAACGCAACAGCCUCAAAAAUGAUCCAGUUUGUUUCAUGUUCAGCAGCCUGGACUAUCUAAGCUAAGCCCCUGAAAUAAGCAUCAUUAUUGGUGAAAUUUUGUUGCAAAAUUGGCAUGGACUAUUUUGAAGUGUCAGACUUCCAGGCGCUAUUUAAGAGUUGGCAAGAGUCAAGACUUUUUAUUGAUUUAAUGACAUUUUUUUUCUUAUUGUCCCCAUAAUCACCUGCUUUAUGAACUGUGGCUAGAGUUGAUGUUGCAACUGGUAAUUUUCUUAGAACCCAAAUUCAUUUAUACUGUUCUGUCUUUUGAUUUCCAUCAUUUCUUGGAAUUGUUAGUGGAUGGAACAAAAAGAGAAUACAUUAUAAACAAUUCAAAAAACCAAAAACAAAAUUCCUUGGACCUUUUACAGAUACCACACAUGCAAAUAACUGUGCCUCUGCAUUCCAAUGGCAUCGAGUAGGGACUGCAUUUUCCUCAUUAACCUCUUUUUUAUACUGAACAGUAUUGUUUUUCAAGCAUGUGUUUAUCUAAAUCCAGGUUGUCAUUUUAAAUGAAUUCACAUAGACUCAACUCAGAUGAGGAGGUAGAAUAUCUUCUCCUUUGACCCCAACAUUUGUACAGUCCUGGCUGGAUUGUUCCCAAGUAAGAAUGCCUACUAUUUUAGGAUGACAUUUGGAGAUUGAUUGUAUGGCUUGCACAACCACAACCCAAACCAACCAUUGGAAGUGCCAAGUAUGUUUUCUCCUUUUUCCUGUGUUGCUGAGGGCAGAAGUAAAAAGGACAAUCUGUGAUGUCCAUCUCAGGACUGAACAUGAUUUUUCCUCUGAUUGCAAACUAUAUAUAGAAUAGAUAUUUUUUUCCAGUGAUAAGGACUCUGAACACAGGACAGCAUUCCAUCUGUGCAAGCACUCUACUACUGAGCUUCACUACCAAGACCUGGAUCCUUAUUUCUAAGGGAUGGAAUGCUCAAUCUAUUUUUAGUCAGUCAUAACUAAUAUUAUAGUUCCUGUGCUAAUAUGUAGACCUUACUCUGAAGCAAUGAGACUUUUCUCAUUUCUCCAGAAACUCAACAAGGCUGUUUAACAAGACUUCACAAUGUCAGGGUAUGUAGUUCCAUGUAUGCUUUGCUUGCAACAAGGACUUGGGUUCAAAUCUCAGAAUAAUAAAGGAGUCAAAGACCCAAAGAGAAAAGAGGAAAGGAAACAAGAUAGGAAGGAAGGAAAUAAUUUUGGUAGGGGCAGAAAUGUAACCUGAUUUAAAAAAAAAAAAAAAAAAAAAAACCUUUUAUGAACACAUACACAAAUCAAUGAUUUUGCCUUAAUACGGAGAAAAAUUUGCAUUGUUUUUGGUGCUGAUAUCUGAGGAAAAAAGGAUGAAAUAUUUUUGUUCAGUUAGCUAAUGUCUAUCUAUGUAAAAAAUCAGCAAGGCAUUAAAAUAACACUCAGUCUAGGUUAAACCUAUCAGUUUGGAAACCCUAUAUCAACUGUUUUUGCUCUGUUGUUAGCUCUGUCUUGCUUUGUCAAUUUUUUUUCAUUCCAUUAUCUUCUUACGCAUUUUUUUCAAACUUGUGUAAUCCCAGCUCAAGACGGCCUGAGUUAGAGCUGGAGAGAGAAUGAACACUGUUUUCUUAGCAUACACAACAUUAAAACGCACCCUUUAAUGUUAUUGGACA